GACGAACCGUGCGAACGUUGUUCGGAUUCACUGGGCUUAAAGGGCGCGUAGGCGGGUUCUCAAGUCGGUGGUGAAAUCUUUCGGCUCAACCGGAAAAUUGCCUUCGAUACUGGGAACCUCGAGGGAGGUAGGGGCAUGCGGAACUUCCGGUGGAGCGGUGAAAUGCGUAGAUAUCGGAAGGAACGCCGGUGGCGAAAGCGGCGUGCUGGACCUCUUCUGACGCUGAGGCGCGAAAGCCAGGGGAG
Molecule: ribosomal RNA, 245 nt
Filed under: uncultured bacterium
Lineage: Bacteria
Description: partial 16S ribosomal RNA
Rfam family: Bacterial small subunit ribosomal RNA
Source: RNAcentral